AGUAACGCGUGAGGAACCUGCCUCAGAGAGGGGGACAACAGUUGGAAACGACUGCUAAUACCGCAUAAGCCCACGGCUCGGCAUCGAGCAGAGGGAAAAGGAGUGAUCCGCUUUGAGAUGGCCUCGCGUCCGAUUAGCUAGUUGGCGGGGUAACGGCCCACCAAGGCGACGAUCAGUAGCCGGACUGAGAGGUUGAACGGCCACAUUGGGACUGAGAUACGGCCCAG
RNAcentral lists this ribosomal RNA (227 nucleotides) under uncultured bacterium. RNAcentral's name for it is "partial 16S ribosomal RNA". It matches the Rfam family "Bacterial small subunit ribosomal RNA", at positions 109 to 334 of the family's 1533-position model. The record is from RNAcentral.